UCAUAAAAAAGGCAAAAUUAGGGUAACUUAAUGACGCAAAACUACAGGGUCCAAAUUAGGAUAGCCAGUUGCUAUA
RNAcentral lists this non-coding RNA (76 nucleotides) under Acholeplasma laidlawii. Its description in RNAcentral is "c-di-GMP sequence". It matches the Rfam family "c-di-GMP-I riboswitch aptamer". From Rfam's summary of the family: GEMM was predicted in a large-scale screen for bacterial structured RNA regulatory elements. Genes associated with GEMM are involved in a diverse array of functions, including chemotaxis regulation, signal transduction, secretion and chitin. Lineage: Bacteria; Bacillati; Mycoplasmatota; Mollicutes; Acholeplasmatales; Acholeplasmataceae. The record is from RNAcentral. RNAcentral also lists the same sequence under 1 other name.